AUUGAACGCUGGCGGCAUGCCUUACACAUGCAAGUCGAACGGCAGCACGGGUGCUUGCACCUGGUGGCGAGUGGCGAACGGGUGAGUAAUACAUCGGAACAUGUCCUGUAGUGGGGGAUAGCCCGGCGAAAGCCGGAUUAAUACCGCAUACGAUCCACGGAUGAAAGCGGGGGACCUUCGGGCCUCGCGCUAUAGGGUUGGCCGAUGGCUGAUUAGCUAGUUGGUGGGGUAAAGGCCUACCAAGGCGACGAUCAGUAGCUGGUCUGAGAGGACGACCAGCCACACUGGGACUGGAACCCGGCCCAGACUCCUACGGGAGGCAGCAGUGGGGAAUUUUGGACAAUGGGCGAAAGCCUGAUCCAGCAAUGCCGCGUGUGAGAAGAAGGCCUUCGGGUUGUAAAGAACUUUUGUCCGGAAAGAAAUCCUUGGCUCUAAUACAGUCGGGGGAUGACGGUACCGGAAGAAUAAGCACCGGCUAACUACGUG
RNAcentral lists this ribosomal RNA (486 nucleotides) under uncultured bacterium. Its description in RNAcentral is "partial 16S ribosomal RNA". It matches the Rfam family "Bacterial small subunit ribosomal RNA", at positions 30 to 507 of the family's 1533-position model. The record is from RNAcentral.